This 263-nucleotide unclassified non-coding RNA is filed under the name Hevea brasiliensis (rubber tree). Lineage: Eukaryota; Viridiplantae; Streptophyta; Magnoliopsida; Malpighiales; Euphorbiaceae. The record is from RNAcentral.
GUGGCCACAUCAACCCGGCCGUUACUUUUGGGCUUUUCCUCGCCCGCAAGGUAUCUCUGGUGAGAGCAGUGCUGUACAUGGUGGCGCAGAGCCUCGGUGCCAUUUGCGGCGUCGGGCUGGUUAAGGGAUUUCAGAGGGCUUUCUAUGUCCGGUACGGUGGUGGCGCCAACGAGCUCAGUGCUGGAUACUCUAAGGGCACCGGGCUCGCUGCGGAGAUUAUCGGCACUUUUGUUCUCGUAUACACUGUCUUCUCCGCCACCGAC